AAGUUCAACCGAACCGAUAAUUCAGAGGAAUUUUCUACUCCUCUCUCUCUCUCUCUCUCUCUUAUUUUUUUGUUUGUUCUGGGAAAAUGUGGUUGCUUUCGUCUUCUUCUUCUUCUUCAUGGCUCUCUGAGCUCUCCUGUUCAUCGUCGGCGGUUAUAGAACCUACAUCAUCUUCAGUCCCAGUAGCAAUCCAAUGGCUCAGAUUUCUUUUACUCUCUCCUUGCCCCCAACGUGCUCUCUUCUCCGCCGUUGAUUUUAUUUUCCUCCUCGUCCUCCUCUGCUUCGCUCUUCUCAAGCUCUUCUUUUCUUCUUCUUCUUCCGAUGAAAUCAACGGAAACGCUGAGAUUAGGAAACCUCUUAUCGGAAUCCGUGGAAGAACCCCAACCAGAACAACCGCCUGGUUCAAAACGACUGUCGUAGUCACCCUUCUAUUGUCGUUUUGCUCUGUCGUGCUCUGCGUUUUGGCCUUCACUGGCAAGCGACGGACUCAGAGACCAUGGAACCUCAUAGACCCGCUCUUUUGGCUUAUUCACGCCGUCACACACGUCGCCGUCGCCGUUCUCGUCCUCCACGAGAAGAGAUUCGCUGCUCUAAAUCAUCCCUUAUCUCUACGAAUCUACUGGAUUUCGAGUUUUGUCCUCACCACUCUCUUCGCCGUCUCUGGGAUUUUCCAUUUUCUCUCCGACGCCGCCGCCACGAGUCUGAUUGCAGAAGACGUCGCUUCAUUCUUCUCCUUCCCGUUAACCGCCUUUCUGCUCAUCGCCUCCGUCAGAGGAAUCACCGGCCUUGUCACAACGGAGACCAACAGUCCUACGAAACCAUCCGACGCCGUUUCGGAGGAGGACAACGUCUCUCUCUACGCAUCUGCUUCGGCUUUCUCCAAAAUGUUCUGGUUAUGGAUGAAUCCUUUACUCAGCAAAGGCUACAAAUCUCCAUUGACGCUCGAAGAGGUUCCGACGCUCUCUCCGGAGCACAAAGCAGAGAGGCUCGCGCGUCUCUUCGAAUCGAGUUGGCCCAAACCGUCGGAGAAUUCGAGCCACCCAGUCCGUACGACUCUACUCCGAUGUUUCUGGAAGGAGAUCCUCUACACGGCGAUUCUUGCCAUCGUCCGUCUCGGUGUCAUGUACGUUGGUCCCGUUCUCAUCCAGAGCUUCGUCGAUUUCACCUCCGGCAAGAGAUCCUCGUCGUGGCAAGGUUAUUACCUCGUCCUCAUCCUCCUUGUUGCGAAAUUCGUCGAGGUCUUGACGACUCAUCAGUUCAAUUUCGAUUCCCAGAAGCUUGGGAUGCUUAUAAGGUCAACUCUAAUCACUGCACUCUACAAGAAAGGUUUAAAGCUCACCGGCUCUGCGCGUCAGAACCACGGCGUUGGGCAAAUCGUGAAUUACAUGGCCGUAGACGCGCAACAGCUCUCUGACAUGAUGCUUCAGCUCCACGCAAUCUGGCUCAUGCCUUUGCAAGUCACUGUUGCACUCGUGCUUCUUUACGGAAGCCUAGGCGCGUCUGUUAUAACUGCGGUUAUUGGGCUGACCGGAGUGUUCGUCUUCAUCCUCCUGGGGACUCAGAGAAACAACGGAUACCAAUUCAGCUUGAUGGGGAACCGAGAUUCUCGGAUGAAGGCCACCAACGAGAUGCUCAAUUACAUGCGAGUCAUCAAGUUUCAGGCUUGGGAGAAUCAUUUUAACAAGAGGAUCCUCAAAUUUAGGGACAUGGAGUUUGGUUGGCUAUCCAAGUUUCUCUACUCCAUUGCUGCCAACAUCAUUGUCCUCUGGAGCACGCCAGUGCUUAUCUCUGCGCUCACAUUCGCCACCGCCCUUGCCUUGGGAGUCAAGCUUGAUGCUGGGACUGUGUUCACCACCACAACUAUCUUCAAGAUCUUGCAAGAACCCAUCAGGACGUUUCCUCAAUCUAUGAUAUCUCUCUCGCAGGCAAUGAUCUCUCUAGGGAGACUGGACUCAUACAUGAUGAGCAAAGAGCUGUCCGGAGAUGCUGUGGAGAGAGCCCUGGGUUGUGAUGGUAGUACUGCCGUAGAGGUCAGAGAUGGAAGCUUUAGUUGGGAUGAUGAGGACAACGAACCUGCUCUCAGUGAUAUCAACUUUAAGGUUAAAAAAGGGGAACUCACUGCGAUAGUUGGAACUGUUGGUUCAGGGAAAUCUUCCCUGUUAGCUUCGGUUCUCGGCGAAAUGCACAGAAUCUCAGGCCAGGUGAGGGUUUGUGGGAGCACAGGCUAUGUAGCGCAGACAUCGUGGAUCGAAAACGGGACGGUUCAAGACAACAUCUUGUUUGGUCUUCCAAUGGUUAGAGAAAAGUACACCAAAGUUCUCAAUGUCUGUUGUCUUGAUAAAGACCUACAAAUGAUGGAGUUUGGGGAUCAGACUGAGAUUGGAGAACGUGGAAUCAACCUCAGCGGAGGGCAGAAGCAGCGUAUACAGCUCGCACGCGCGGUCUAUCAGGAAUGCGAUGUAUACUUGCUGGACGAUGUUUUUAGCGCUGUGGAUGCUCAUACCGGUUCAGAUAUAUUCAAGAAAUGUGUAAGAGGAGCUCUGAAAGGCAAGACCAUAUUGCUCGUAACCCAUCAAGUGGAUUUCUUGCACAACGUCGAUUGCAUCUUGGUGAUGCGGGAUGGAAGGAUUGUUGAAUCAGGAAAAUACGAUGAAUUAGUCAGCUCCGGGUUGGAUUUUGGGGAACUCGUGGCUGCACAUGAGACAUCAAUGGAGCUAGUUGAAGCCGGUGCAGACUCUGCAGCAGCAGCAACAAUCGCGACAUCCCCAAGAACACCAAUGUCUCCCCAUGCAAGCUCUCCUAGAAUGUCAAUGGACUCUCCUCACUUAAGUGAUCUAAACGAUGAACAUGUCAAGUCAUUUCUCGGUUCUCACGCCGUAGAAGAUGGCUCGAAGCUCAUCAAAGAAGAAGAAAGGGAAACCGGACAGGUCAGCCUGGGAGUUUACAAACAGUACUGCACUGAGGCCUAUGGCUGGUGGGGAAUUGUCCUUGUUCUGUUCUUCUCUCUGACGUGGCAGGGUUCUCUAAUGGCCAGCGAUUACUGGCUUGCGUACGAAACAUCUGCCAAAAAUGCAAUUUCAUUUGAUGCUUCCGUUUUCAUUCUCGUAUACGUGAUUAUUGCACUUGUUUCCAUCAUUUUGGUGAGUCUCCGGUCAUACUACGUCACCCACUUGGGACUCAAGACGGCUCAGAUCUUUUUCCGACAGAUUCUUAACAGUAUCUUACACGCUCCCAUGUCAUUCUUUGACACCACACCAUCGGGAAGAAUUCUCAGUCGGGCAUCGACUGAUCAGACCAAUGUCGAUAUCCUUAUUCCGUUUAUGCUCGGACUUGUGGCCUCAAUGUACACCACUUUGCUUAGCAUUUUCAUAAUUACUUGCCAGUACGCUUGGCCAACUGCAUUCUUUGUGAUUCCCCUUGGCUGGCUUAACAUCUGGUACCGGAACUAUUACCUCGCUUCUUCCCGGGAAUUAACACGCUUGGACUCGAUCACUAAGGCUCCCAUCAUCCACCAUUUCUCAGAGAGUAUAGCUGGAGUGAUGACAAUCCGAUCAUUCAAGAAGCAGGAGUUGUUUAGGCAAGAAAAUGUGAAGCGUGUAAAUGCCAAUCUCAGGAUGGACUUCCACAACAAUGGCUCCAACGAAUGGCUCGGGUUUCGGCUAGAGCUGAUUGGGAGCUGGGUGCUCUGCAUCUCGGCUUUGUGUAUGGUAUUGUUACCCAGCAAUGUUAUCAGACCUGAGAAUGUAGGGCUGUCCCUUUCGUAUGGACUGUCCCUGAACUCGGUUCUGUUCUUUGCCAUAUACAUGAGCUGCUUUGUCGAGAACAAGAUGGUUUCUGUUGAAAGGAUCAAACAGUUCACUAAUAUUCCCUCUGAAUCCGAGUGGGAGAGAAAAGAAACCCUUCCACCUUCGAAUUGGCCCUUCCAUGGCGAUGUACAUCUCGAAGACCUCAAGGUGCGCUACAGACCAAACACUCCACUUGUGCUCAAAGGAAUCACUCUUGACAUCAAAGGAGGAGAGAAGGUUGGUGUGGUUGGACGAACGGGAAGCGGGAAAUCGACUUUGAUCCAAGUCUUGUUCAGGCUCGUAGAACCAUCAGGAGGGAAGAUUAUCAUAGACGGGAUUGAUAUAAGCACUCUAGGGCUACAUGAUCUCAGGUCAAGAUUCGGAAUCAUUCCGCAAGAACCUGUCCUCUUUGAAGGAACCGUGAGAAGCAACAUCGACCCAACGGAGCAAUACUCCGACGAAGAAAUCUGGAUGAGCCUCGAACGAUGCCAACUCAAGGAUGUUGUUGCUACCAAGCCUGAGAAGCUCGAUUCUUUGGUGGUUGAUAAUGGGGAGAACUGGAGCGUAGGGCAGAGGCAGCUUCUGUGUUUAGGCAGGGUUAUGUUAAAACGUAGCAGACUUCUCUUCCUAGACGAAGCAACCGCAUCCGUUGAUUCCCAAACCGAUGCCGUGAUUCAGAAGAUCAUUAGAGAAGACUUCGCGUCUUGCACCAUAAUCAGCAUCGCCCACCGGAUUCCUACUGUGAUGGACGGCGAUCGAGUCCUGGUCAUUGAUGCUGGAAAAGCGAAAGAGUUCGAUAGCCCCGCUCGUUUGCUGGAGAGACAGUCUCUGUUUGCCGCGCUAGUGCAAGAAUACGCUCUCCGAUCUGCCGGAAUAUGAAACUUUUACGCCGGCCGGGACUGAAAAUAUCUCAAAACCUUCACAUGAGAAUUGUAUUAAGGGAAGGAAAAUCUUGUAAUCGACUCAAAAUGUUUUAGAUUAAAACGACAUCGUUGUUUCAGGGCAGCAACACAAUAAAUUUUUUAACUCGCUAA
This is an RNA transcript of Arabidopsis lyrata subsp. lyrata, 4819 nucleotides long. It is a transcript of the gene named ABC transporter C family member 4, with no coding region annotated. The transcript has 12 exons. Lineage: Eukaryota; Viridiplantae; Streptophyta; Magnoliopsida; Brassicales; Brassicaceae. The record is from RefSeq and is a predicted model, not a curated record.